RNAcentral lists this ribosomal RNA (935 nucleotides) under methanogenic prokaryote enrichment culture B19_42. RNAcentral's name for it is "bacterial SSU rRNA". It matches the Rfam family "Bacterial small subunit ribosomal RNA", at positions 8 to 916 of the family's 1533-position model. The record is from RNAcentral.
AGAGUUUGAUCCUGGCUCAGAACAAACGCUGGCGGCGUGCCUAACACAUGCAAGUCGUACGAGAAAGUCCGCUUCGGUGGAUGAGUAAAGUGGCGCACGGGUGAGUAACGCGUGGAUAAUCUACCCUUUAGUCUGGAAUAACUUAUCGAAAGGUGAACUAAUACCGGAUAAUAUCCCGAUUUCUUCGGCGAUCGGGAUCAAAGAAGGCCUCUGCUUGCAAGCUUUCACUGAAGGAUGAGUCCGCGUACCAUUAGCUAGUUGGCAGGGUAAUGGCCUACCAAGGUUAUGAUGGUUAGCUGGUCUGAGAGGAUGAUCAGCCACACUGGAACUGAAACACGGUCCAGACUCCUACGGGAGGCAGCAGUGAGGAAUAUUGCGCAAUGGGGGCAACCCUGACGCAGCAACGCCGCGUGAGUGAGGAAGGUUUUCGGAUUGUAAAGCUCUGUCGAGCGGAAAGAAGUGCAUGGUGGUUAAUAUCCAUCAUGCUUGACGGUACCGCUAAAGGAAGCACCGGCUAACUCCGUGCCAGCAGCCGCGGUAAUACGGGGGGUGCAAGCGUUGUUCGGAAUCAUUGGGCGUAAAGCGCGUGUAGGCGGGCUGGACAAGUCAGAUGUGAAAGCCCUGGGCUUAACCCAGGAAGUGCAUUUGAAACUGUUCAGCUAGAGUAAGGGAGAGGAAAGUGGAAUUCCUGGUGUAGAGGUGAAAUUCGUAGAUAUCAUGAGGAACACCGGUGGCGAAGGCGACUUUCUGGCCCUAUACUGACGCUAGACGCGAAAGCGUGGGUAGCAAACAGGGAUUAGAUACCCUGGUAGUCCACGCUGUAAACGAUGUUCACUAGGUGGUGGGGGUAUUGACCCUUCCAGUGCCGCGCUAACGCAUUAAGGUGAACCGCCUGGGGAGUACGGUCGCAAGAUUAAAACUCAAGGAAUUGACGG